GAUGAACGCUGGCGGCGUGCCUAAUACAUGCAAGUCGAGCGAACAGACGAGGAGCUUGCUCCUUUGACGUUAGCGGCGGACGGGGGAGUAACACGUGGAUAACCUACCUAUAAGACUGGGAUAACUUCGGGAAACCGGAGCUAAUACCGGAUAACAUGUUGAACCGCAUGGUUCAACAGUGAAAGACGGUCUUGCGGUCACUUAUAGAUGGAUCCGCGCCGCAUUAGCUAGUGGGUAAGGUAACGGCUUACCAAGGCAACGAGGCGCAGCCGACCUGAGAGGGUGAUCGGCCACACUAGAACUGAGACACGGUCCAGACUACUACGGGAGGCAGCAGUAGGGAAUGUUACGCAAUGGGCGAAAACCUGACGGAGCAACGCCGCGUGAGUGAAGAAGGUCUUCGGAGCGUAAAACUCUGUUAUUAGGGAAGAACAAAUGUGUAAGUAACUAUGCACGUCUUGACGGUACCUGAUCAGAAAGCCACGGCUAACUACGUG
RNAcentral lists this ribosomal RNA (497 nucleotides) under uncultured bacterium. RNAcentral describes it as "partial 16S ribosomal RNA". It matches the Rfam family "Bacterial small subunit ribosomal RNA", at positions 28 to 507 of the family's 1533-position model. The record is from RNAcentral.